RNAcentral lists this ribosomal RNA (253 nucleotides) under uncultured bacterium. RNAcentral's name for it is "partial 16S ribosomal RNA". It matches the Rfam family "Bacterial small subunit ribosomal RNA", at positions 524 to 776 of the family's 1533-position model. The record is from RNAcentral.
UACGGAGGGAGCUAGCGUUGUUCGGAAUUACUGGGCGUAAAGCGCACGUAGGCGGCUUUGUAAGUCAGAGGUGAAAGCCCGGGGCUCAACCCCGGAACUGCCUUUGAAACUAGGUAACUAGAAUCUUGGAGAGGCGAGUGGAAUUCCGAGUGUAGAGGUGAAAUUCGUAGAUAUUCGGAAGAACACCAGUGGCGAAGGCGACUCGCUGGACAAGUAUUGACGCUGAGGUGCGAAAGCGUGGGGAGCAAACAGG